UAGGUAAAGAAUGCAAUGUGAUAGCUGAUU
RNAcentral lists this non-coding RNA (30 nucleotides) under Mus musculus (house mouse). The record is from RNAcentral. Lineage: Eukaryota; Metazoa; Chordata; Mammalia; Rodentia; Muridae.